AGUGAACGCUGGCGGUAGGCCUAACACAUGCAAGUCGAACGGCAGCACAGUAAGAGCUUGCUCUUACGGGUGGCGAGUGGCGGACGGGUGAGGAAUACAUCGGAAUCUACUUUUUCGUGGGGGAUAACGUAGGGAAACUUACGCUAAUACCGCAUACGACCUACGGGUGAAAGCAGGGGAUCUUCGGACCUUGCGCGAUUGAAUGAGCCGAUGUCGGAUUAGCUAGUUGGCGGGGUAAAGGCCCACCAAGGCGACGAUCCGUAGCUGGUCUGAGAGGAUGAUCAGCCACACUGGAACUGAGACACGGUCCAGACCCCUACGGGAGGCAGCAGUGGGGAAUAUUGGACAAUGGGCGCAGGCCUGAUCCAGCCAUACCGCGUGAGUGAAGAAGGCCUUCGGGUUCUAAAGCCCUUUUGUUGGGAAAGAAAAGCAGCAGGUUAAUACCCCGCUGUCCUGACGGUACCCAAAGAAUAAGCACCGGCUAACUUCGUG
This 492-nucleotide ribosomal RNA is filed under the name uncultured bacterium. RNAcentral's name for it is "partial 16S ribosomal RNA". It matches the Rfam family "Bacterial small subunit ribosomal RNA", at positions 29 to 507 of the family's 1533-position model. The record is from RNAcentral.